Molecule: ribosomal RNA, 301 nt
Filed under: uncultured bacterium
Lineage: Bacteria
Description: partial 16S ribosomal RNA
Rfam family: Bacterial small subunit ribosomal RNA
Source: RNAcentral
CAGUAGCCGCGGUAAUACGAAGGGUGCAAGCGUUAAUCGGAAUUACUGGGCGUAAAGCGUGCGUAGGCGGUGAGUUAAGUCUGCUGUGAAAUCCCCGGGCUCAGCCUGGGAAUGGCAGUGGAUACUGGCUCGCUAGAGUGUGUCAGAGGAUGGUGGAAUUCCCGGUGUAGCGGUGAAAUGCGUAGAAGUCGGGAGGAACAUCAGUGGCGAAGGCGGCCAUCUGGGACAACACUGACGCUGAGGCACGAAAGCGUGGGGAGCAAACAGGAUUAGAUACCCCCGUAGUCCCUGUCCUUAUACA